RNAcentral lists this long non-coding RNA (2295 nucleotides) under Mus musculus (house mouse). RNAcentral describes it as "RIKEN cDNA 5430421F17 gene". Lineage: Eukaryota; Metazoa; Chordata; Mammalia; Rodentia; Muridae. The record is from RNAcentral.
GAGGGAGAGAGUGUGUGUUUCCACAGCAUAACAAACAUUCCUUGUAUGGCUUGUGCUGUUUACACACUCAGCACAUAGGGGAGAGGCAAAGAAGCCUGGGAUAAUGUUAGAGUCAGGUAUGACCUUGCCAGAGACCGGAUUCCAGUCGUGGGAUUCUCCUGCAUAAAGGCUGGAAGAAAUGAUCUGGGCUGCUGAGCACAGGAAGCAGAAGGAGCCCAGAGGAAACUGGGGUUCUUUCCAUACCACACAGGAACUGAGGGAAGCCUGGGAAAGCGAAACCCCGAGUCCUUCCAUUGCCGAGUCACUCUGUGCUCUUCAGUGUGUUCAGAUGUGGCCACUCUCAGAUGGGUGUGGUGAGCCUGUUUCCAUGCAGAAUACCAACCAAGAAAGAAGGAGAAAGGACAUGCAUUGUGGUUAAUUUAUCUGCUAUACCUUCACACUAGGGAAGCCCAGGGCAGACCAAUGUGUCCCUCCAGCUUUGGUCUCCCUCCUACUUUCCGAGGGCCUGGAUAAGAAAUGGGCCAGCAUCCUGCCUCUACAAUGUAUGCUUCUUCUCUCAUCCUAGAGCCUGGCCUCCCUGCCUAGUUGCACAGACAGAGACAGGACUCUGGGCAUGGAAAUAACUCUGGCCUGAGUUCUGCCUACAGGCUUGUUUCUGGUUAUCCAAUUGGGGGAGUGAAAGAAAAUUGGAAAAUCCUGUUUGUCCUUCCACAAAGCCUAGCUAUUACCAUGAUUGUGUCUGUAAAACCCAUUGGCAGGUGAGAGUUUCAAUGUUAAUGUUUGCACACCCACGCUGAAGAAAGCCAAUGACUCUAGGUGAAGACACAGGUCAGUUAGGGAAACAACAGAGCAGAAAAUAUACUCCACCACCACCACCACCAACAACAACAACAACAGCAAUAGCCAGUUUGCCUCCAGACACUCUUCCAUCUAAAAGAACUGGAUUCCUGAGACAGUACUGGAAAGUGCACUAUGGAAAAUCUGACACACUCUUCUAAAGUGUAUGUGGAUACUCGCUUUAUUAUUAUCAUUACUAUGCUUCCAAGAUGCUCAUCUCUCAGAUGUUGGCCUAGGGCAACUUCUGAUGAGUGGUGUUUAGCGUACUGACUCAGAAGGAUGCUUUGAAGCUCCCAGCAGCUUCUCUUCCAGUAAGAAUCUUUCAUGAGUUGUCCCGAAGCAUCUGUCUGUCCCUAAGCAUCUGUCACGGACUACUUUCCAGCACCGGUGGGCAGCUUCAGUGAUUAUUACCAGAUUCUACUCUGUCCUUUUUAUGAUGCUGGUUCCCUUUCUCCCCACCUCCGCCUCCCUGCCAUCAUAACUCCCGUGAAAACCGGCUAUCGUGACCUAGAAAAGGAAUCAGAGAAAUGGGUUCCUGCUUAAGAAAAUGGACAGAUGGGGUCGGUGAGAUGGCUCAGUGGUUAAGAGCACUGACUGCUCUUCUGGAGGUCAUGAGUUCAAAUCCCAACAACUACAUGGUGGCUCACAACCAUCUGUAAUGAGAAACAAAUAAAAUUUAAAAAACAAACAAACAAACAAAAAACAAUAACAACAAAACCCUAGGGGUCAGAGUGAGCAGGGACUGGAGCAAGAGGGAAAAGGGAAGGGGGAGAAGAAAAGAAGAUGGACAGAUGAACACUCCAACUCUACUCCAUGAAGUCUAUUGGUCUUUUCUGUGGAGGAGGUAGGAUUAACAAUGAGACAAUUAGAAAAUAGAAUUAAGCCAAGCUCUUGGAACCUCCUCUAGGAACAGUAAGAAUUCAAAAGGGGGCUGGAGAGAUGGCUUGGUGGUCAAGAGCAUGGAGUGCACUUCCUAAAGUCUGGAGUUUGAUUCCCAGCACCCACUCCAAGAGGCUCACGACUGCCUACAACCCCAGCUCAGAUCUCAUCUCAUCUCUGGUCGUUGUGAGCACCUCCACUCAUGUGGGCACACUCCCGCGCUGAUAUACACAUGAUUUAAAAUGAUACAAAUAAAACUUAAAAAUAAAAAGAGGAAGAUGGUAUUGUUUAGAUCCGAAACGGCCCCUUCAGGCCCACUUGUUAUAGAAUUGGAUAUCAGCCUUCAAUACUGCUGCCUGUCUAUUGAGAGAAAAUGAAGGACUUUCAGCCGUCACAGUAGAACUUCAGCCUGUUCCCCUCUGUCUCCUUGCCUUCCCAGCUGUCACGACGCAGAGAGAUCUUCUGUGUUGUGUGUUUCUGCCAAGAUGUGCUAUGCUGCCACAGACCAAAAAUUAAUAAGGCCAAGUGGCAGUGGAUCCAAACCUGUGAAACCAUGACAAAAUAAAUGUUUGCUUGUUG